This 188-nucleotide unclassified non-coding RNA is filed under the name uncultured fungus. RNAcentral's name for it is "sequence contains ITS1". The record is from RNAcentral. Lineage: Eukaryota; Fungi.
UUUUUGUUUUAGGUUUGUUACAUUCUUUAACUGAAGUUUGUAAUGAAUAAAUAAGGCCGACUUGUAAAACCGAAGUCUCAAAAUCGAACCAAAUUUGUUAAUGCACAGUGUUAGAAGUGGAGGUCGAGCCUUCGUAUAGAAGCACUCAAUAUUCACUAAUGAUCCUUCCGCAGGUUCACCUACGGAAA